This 1159-nucleotide ribosomal RNA is filed under the name uncultured bacterium. Its description in RNAcentral is "bacterial SSU rRNA". It matches the Rfam family "Bacterial small subunit ribosomal RNA", at positions 8 to 1122 of the family's 1533-position model. The record is from RNAcentral.
AGAGUUUGAUCCUGGCUCAGGAUGAACGCCGGCGGUGUGCCUAAUACAUGCAAGUCGUACGCACUGGCCCAACUGAUUGAUGGUGCUUGCACCUGAUUGACGAUGGAUCACCAGUGAGUGGCGGACGGGUGAGUAACACGUAGGUAACCUGCCUCGGAGCGGGGGAUAACAUAUGGAAACAGAUGCUAAUACCGCAUAACAACAAAAGCCACAUGGCUUUUGUUUGAAAGAUGGCUUUGGCUAUCACUCUGGGAUGGACCUGCGGUGCAUUAGCUAGUUGGUAAGGUAACGGCUUACCAAGGCAAUGAUGCAUAGCCGAGUUGAGAGACUGAUCGGCCACAAUGGAACUGAGACACGGUCCAUACUCCUACGGGAGGCAGCAGUAGGGAAUCUUCCACAAUGGGCGCAAGCCUGAUGGAGCAACACCGCGUGAGUGAAGAAGGGUUUCGGCUCGUAAAGCUCUGUUGUUGGAGAAGAACGUGCGUGAGAGUAACUGUUCACGCAGUGACGGUAUCCAACCAGAAAGUCACGGCUAACUACGUGCCAGCAGCCGCGGUAAUACGUAGGUGGCAAGCGUUAUCCGGAUUUAUUGGGCGUAAAGCGAGCGCAGGCGGUUGCUUAGGUCUGAUGUGAAAGCCUUCGGCUUAACCGAAGAAGUGCAUCGGAAACCGGGCGACUUGAGUGCAGAAGAGGACAGUGGAACUCCAUGUGUAGCGGUGGAAUGCGUAGAUAUAUGGAAGAACACCAGUGGCGAAGGCGGCUGUCUGGUCUGCAACUGACGCUGAGGCUCGAAAGCAUGGGUAGCGAACAGGAUUAGAUACCCUGGUAGUCCAUGCCGUAAACGAUGAAGGCUAGGUGUUGAAGGGUUUCCCCCCUUUCGUGCCGGAGCUAACGCAUUAACCACUCCGCCUGGGGAGUACGACCGCAAGGUUGAAACUCAAAGGAAUGACGGGGGCCCGCACAAAGCGGUGGAGCAUGUGGUUUAAUUCGAAGCUACGCGAAGAACCUUACCAGGUCUUGACAUCUUGCGCUAACCUUAGAGAUAAGGCGUUCCCUUCGGGGACGCAAUGACAGGUGGUGCAUGGUCGUCGUCAGCUCGUGUCGUGAGAUGUUGGGUUAAGUCCCGCAACGAGCGCGCCCCUUGUUGCUCGUUGCCUGC